RNAcentral lists this ribosomal RNA (301 nucleotides) under uncultured bacterium. Its description in RNAcentral is "partial 16S ribosomal RNA". It matches the Rfam family "Bacterial small subunit ribosomal RNA", at positions 509 to 809 of the family's 1533-position model. The record is from RNAcentral.
CAGCAGCCGCGGUAAAACGGAGGGUGCAAGCGUUAAUCGGAAUUACUGGGCGUAAAGCGUGCGUAGGCGGUUCGUUAAGUCUGUUGUGAAAGCCCCGGGCUCAACCUGGGAAUGGCAAUGGAUACUGGCGAGCUAGAGUGUGUCAGAGGAUGGUGGAAUUCCCGGUGUAGCGGUGAAAUGCGUAGAGAUCGGGAGGAACAUCAGUGGCGAAGGCGGCCAUCUGGGACAACACUGACGCUGAGGCACGAAAGCGUGGGGAGCAAACAGGAUUAGAUACCCCUGUAGUCCCUGUCUCUUAUAA